Non-coding RNA from Podarcis lilfordi (Lilford's wall lizard), 72 nucleotides. Lineage: Eukaryota; Metazoa; Chordata; Lepidosauria; Squamata; Lacertidae. The record is from the annotation of a GenBank genome assembly.
GCUGUAGCUCAGUGGUAGAGCACCUGCUCUGCAUGCAGAAUGCCCCACGUUCAAUCCCAGGGGUCUGGAACA